AGCGAACGCUGGCGGCAGGCUUAACACAUGCAAGUCGAGCGGGCAUCCUUGUGGUGUCAGCGGCAGACGGGUGAGUAACGCGUGGGAACGUGCCCUUCGGUUCGGAAUAACUCAGGGAAACUUGAGCUAAUACCGGAUACGUGCGAGAGCAGAAAGGUUUAUCUGCCGAAGGAUCGGCCCGCGUCUGAUUAGCUAGUUGGUGAGGUUACGGCUCACCAAGGCGACGAUCAGUAGCUGGUCUGAGAGGAUGAUCAGCCACACUGGGACUGAGACACGGCCCAGACUCCUACGGGAGGCAGCAGUGGGGAAUAUUGGACAAUGGGGGCAACCCUGAUCCAGCCAUGCCGCGUGAGUGAUGACGGCCUUAGGGUUGUAAAGCUCUUUUCUCCGGGACGAUAAUGACGGUGCCGGAGGAAUAAGCCCCGGCUAACUUCGUG
This 437-nucleotide ribosomal RNA is filed under the name uncultured bacterium. RNAcentral's name for it is "partial 16S ribosomal RNA". It matches the Rfam family "Bacterial small subunit ribosomal RNA", at positions 29 to 507 of the family's 1533-position model. The record is from RNAcentral.